Molecule: long non-coding RNA, 778 nt
Filed under: Prunus persica (peach)
Lineage: Eukaryota; Viridiplantae; Streptophyta; Magnoliopsida; Rosales; Rosaceae
Description: long non-coding RNA (PPER_LNC006142)
Source: RNAcentral
CAAGAGGUUAUUUUCAAAGUUUACCUGGAAGAUCAGGGUGGAUAGUACUAUCAUGAGCCUGGGCAGUCUCUUUUCUCUUGUUCUUUCUGGUGAAAGGAGUCACCUCUGGAGCUUUCUCUGCCACAGACUCAUGAUGAUCUUUUUCAUCCCCAAAAGGAAGCUCCAGAUCUCCAACAGCAAUGAUAGAAGUAACUGCACAAUAAAAGGAAGUUAACAGGCAGUCAAGCAAGGAAAAACACAAGGACCAAAGUCAGGAACUUACCAACCACUCCCUAGCUUGGACAACUUAUCCCCUAAGAUUGCUUGCCAUAGAAGGAUAUGAAACAAACAGACAGAACAGAGUGAAGACAUAUCUCAGAAUAUAGAAAUCCAAAGCAGAAAUAGCAUAACUAUGAAUUUUUUGGCUUCUGCCUCUGCAUAGACAGUUCCAGCAUCCCAAUCUAUAAAAAUCACGUUCACGGCAGUGCCAGCAUCUGUUAGACCAGCAAACCAAGCCUUCCACCAGACAUCAAACUAGCCAGAACUGUAGGAAUUAGGCUCCCAGGAGGGAUAGAGGGCAUCCACACUGUUAUUAAUCUUGUUCACCGAGCACCUGCAAUCCUUUUGCAUAUCUAGAUCAUCUGAAUUCCUCCAUGAGGUUGCACGAUUACAACUUCUGUAGGAUUUGAGAGGAAUGAGGUGAGGGCAGCCAAGCUGCCUGGCACAUAAGUUGGGGUGAUAGACUUCUGCUCCCAAAUGGUAAUUAGGAGGCUUGCCCCCACCAAAAGGCAUAUCUCGG